CCCCUAGAUGUUCUGGGCCGCACGCGCGCUACACUGAACAGUUCAACAAGUCUUAACCUUGGCCGAUAGGUCUGGGUAAUCUUUGAACGCUGUUCGUGACUGGGAUAGACCUUUGCAAUUAUGGGUCUUCAACGAGGAAUUCCUAGUAAACGCAAGUCAUCAGCUUGCAUUGAUUACGUCCCUGCCCUUUGUACACACCGCCCGUCGCACCUACCGAUUGAAUGGUCCGGUGAAAUCUCGGGACGGCGGCUUGGUCGCUUGCGUCCGACUGCUGAAACUUGAUUAAACCAUAUCAUUUAGAGGAAGGUGANGUCGUNACA
Molecule: ribosomal RNA, 320 nt
Filed under: uncultured eukaryote
Lineage: Eukaryota
Description: partial 18S ribosomal RNA
Rfam family: Eukaryotic small subunit ribosomal RNA
Source: RNAcentral